CCAAUAGCGUAUAUUAAAGUUGUUGCAGUUAAAAAGCUCGUAGUUGAAUUUCGGGGUUAGUAGGUUGGUCAUGCCUCUGGUAUGUACUGGUCUCACUGAUUCCUCCUUCCUGAUGAACCGUAAUGCCAUUAAUUUGGUGUUGCGGGGAAUUUGGACUGUUACUUUGAAAAAAUUAGAGUGUCUAAAGCAAGCUAACGCUUGAAUACAUUAGCAUGGAAUAAUGAAAUAGGACGUUCGAUCCUAUUUUGUUGGUUUCUAGGAUUGACGUAAUGAUUAAUAGGGAUAGUUGGGGGCAUUAGUAUUCAAUUGUCAGAGGUGAAAUUCUUGGAUUUAUUGAAGACUAACUACUGCGAAAGCAUUUGCCAAGGAUGUUUUCAUUAAUCAAGAACGAAAGUUAGGGGAUCGAAGACGAUCAGAUACCGUCGUAGUCUUAACCAUAAACUAUGCCGACUAGGGAUCGGAUGAUGUUAAUUUUUUAAUGACUCAUUCGGCGCCUUACG
Molecule: ribosomal RNA, 500 nt
Filed under: uncultured Glomeromycotina
Lineage: Eukaryota; Fungi; Glomeromycota
Description: partial small subunit ribosomal RNA
Rfam family: Eukaryotic small subunit ribosomal RNA
Source: RNAcentral